This 82-nucleotide non-coding RNA is filed under the name unclassified sequences. The record is from RNAcentral.
ACCCUUGUGGUAUGGUGGCAGUUGGCGAAAGCUCUGCAAACGCUUUUCUUUGGGCGUUGGAACACCUAAGCCGUAAGGGUUU